UAACACGCGGGCAAUCUGCCCUUCACUCUGGGACAAGCCCUGGAAACGGGGUCUAAUACCGGAUAACACUCUGUCCCGCAUGGGACGGGGUUGAAAGCUCCGGCGGUGAAGGAUGAGCCCGCGGCCUAUCAGCUUGUUGGUGGGGUAAUGGCCUACCAAGGCGACGACGGGUAGCCGGCCUGAGAGGGCGACCGGCCACACUGGGACUGAGACACGGCCCAGACUCCUACGGGAGGCAGCAGUGGGGAAUAUUGCACAAUGGGCGAAAGCCUGAUGCAGCGACGCCGCGUGAGGGAUGACGGCCUUCGGGUUGUAAACCUCUUUCAGCAGGGAAGAAGCGAAAGUGACGGUACCUGCAGAAGAAGCGCCGGCUAACUACGUGCCAGCAGCCGCGGUAAUACGUAGGGCGCAAGCGUUGUCCGGAAUUAUUGGGCGUAAAGAGCUCGUAGGCGGCUUGUCACGUCGGAUGUGAAAGCCCCGGGGCUUAACCCCGGGUCUGCAUUCGAUACGGGCUAGCUAGAGUGUGGUAGGGGAGAUCGGAAUUCCUGGUGUAGCGGUGAAAUGCGCAGAUAUCAGGAGGAACACCGGUGGCGAAGGCGGAUCUCUGGGCCAUUACUGACGCUGAGGAGCGAAAGCGUGGGGAGCGAACAGGAUUAGAUACCCUGGUAGUCCACGCCGUAAACGUUGGGAACUAGGUGUUGGCGACAUUCCACGUCGUCGGUGCCGCAGCUAACGCAUUAAGUUCCCCGCCUGGGGAGUACGGCCGCAAGGCUAAAACUCAAAGGAAUUGACGGGGGCCCGCACAAGCAGCGGAGCAUGUGGCUUAAUUCGACGCAACGCGAAGAACCUUACCAAGGCUUGACAUAUACCGGAAAGCAUCAGAGAUGGUGCCCCCCUUGUGGUCGGAAUACCGGGUGGGGCAUGGCUGGCCGCCAGCUCCGGGCCCGGGGAAAUGUUGGGGUAAGUCCCGCAACGAGCGCAACCCUUGUUCUGUGUUGCCAGCAUGCCCUUCGGGGUGAUGGGGACACUCACAGGAGACUGCCGGGGUCAACUCGGAGGAAGGUGGGGACGACGUCAAGUCAUCAUGCCCCUUAUGUCUUGGGCUGCACACGUGCUACAAUGGCCGGUACAAUGAGCUGCGAUGCCGCGAGGCGGAGCGAAUCUCAAAAAGCCGGUCUCAGUUCGGAUUGGGGUCUGCAACUCGACCCCAUGAAGUCGGAGUUGCUAGUAAUCGCAGAUCAGCAUUCAGUCGGUGGAUAC
RNAcentral lists this ribosomal RNA (1260 nucleotides) under Streptomyces sp. RNAcentral's name for it is "bacterial SSU rRNA". It matches the Rfam family "Bacterial small subunit ribosomal RNA", at positions 111 to 1369 of the family's 1533-position model. Lineage: Bacteria; Bacillati; Actinomycetota; Actinomycetes; Kitasatosporales; Streptomycetaceae. The record is from RNAcentral.